GACAUAGAGGUAGUAGGGAACGCGAAAGCGGACCGACCUUCGGGGAGCCUCUACAGGUGUUGCAUGGCUGUCGUCAGCUCGUGUCGUGAGAUGUUCGGUUAAGUCCGCUAACGAGCGCAACCCUCGCUGUGUGUUACAAGUGUCACACGGUACUGCCGAUAUUAAGUCGGAGGAAGGUGGGGAUGACGUCAAGUCAGCAUGACCUUUAUAUCCAGGGCUACACACACGCUACAAUGGCCAGUACAAUGGGUUGCCAAGCCGCGAGGCGGAGCCAAUCCUAAAAAGCUGGCCUCAGUUCAGAUUGCAGUCUGCAACUCGACUGCAUGAAGUUGGAGUUGCUAGUAACCGCAGGUCAGCAAUACUGCGGUGAAUACGGUUCCCGGGGAUU
Molecule: ribosomal RNA, 388 nt
Filed under: uncultured Anaerolineaceae bacterium
Lineage: Bacteria; Bacillati; Chloroflexota; Anaerolineae; Anaerolineales; Anaerolineaceae
Description: bacterial SSU rRNA
Rfam family: Bacterial small subunit ribosomal RNA
Source: RNAcentral